This 433-nucleotide ribosomal RNA is filed under the name uncultured bacterium. RNAcentral's name for it is "partial 16S ribosomal RNA". It matches the Rfam family "Bacterial small subunit ribosomal RNA", at positions 29 to 507 of the family's 1533-position model. The record is from RNAcentral.
AACGAACGCUGGCGGCAUGCCUAACACAUGCAAGUCGAACGAUGCCUUCGGGCAUAGUGGCGCACGGGUGCGUAACGCGUGGGAAUCUGCCUUUCGGUUCGGAAUAACUCAGGGAAACUUGAGCUAAUACCGGAUAACGUCGCAAGACCAAAGAUUUAUCACCGAAAGAUGAGCCCGCGUAGGAUUAGCUAGUUGGUGAGGUAAAGGCUCACCAAGGCGACGAUCCUUAGCUGGUCUGAGAGGAUGAUCAGCCACACUGGGACUGAGACACGGCCCAGACUCCUACGGGAGGCAGCAGUGGGGAAUAUUGGACAGUGGGCGAAAGCCUGAUGCAGCAAUGGCGCGUGAGUGAUGAAGGCCUUAGGGUUGUAAAGCUCUUUUAACCGGGAAGAUAAUGACGGUACCGGGAGAAUAAGCCCCGGCUAACUCCGUG